CAGCAGAAACAUUCCAGCCAAUCAGCAGCAGACCCUCCCUCCCAGACCCUUCCACCUCUUGGACAGCAUCCAUUUUGAAGCUGCAUUCUUAGUGAGCUGUCCAGGAGGUGGGAGGGUCUGGGAGGGAGGGUCUGCUGCUGAAUGGCUGGAAUGUGUCUGCUG
RNAcentral lists this microRNA precursor (162 nucleotides) under Pelobates cultripes (western spadefoot toad). The record is from RNAcentral. Lineage: Eukaryota; Metazoa; Chordata; Amphibia; Anura; Pelobatidae.